AAAGAACGCCACGUUUAGCUAGAACAGGACAAAUUUGAAAGUGUUUAAAAGGAAAGGCUUUUCUUAAGAGAUGGCACUUUUCAUUUCUCCAAGCCAAGAAUCCUCAUGAAAAGAAAACACGACUGAAUGCAGGGAUGGGAUGAAAAAGCGUUGUCCUGCCUGUGUACAUUUUAUAUACAUAGAAGGUUUUGAAAACAGAAAGAGCCUGGACAACAGCAGUUGGUGAAAUGUGGAAAAUAUGUUGCUGAGCUAGAAACAACCUUCUUAGAUCAGCUCCUGUGAAAUGUGUAGCCUGCUGGCCUGCAGGCACUGAGAGUGGCAUCGUAUUAGCUGCGAGACGGCCAGGUAGUGAACCAUUUUUUGUCAGAACAAGACAGACAGCAGCAGCAGUUACCCACUGUCUUGCUUCUUCAAGCACUCUGUUUUACUGUGUAAUCACCAUUUGUUUUGACACAGGAAGCAUAACAACACCCUGUUGUCAACACUCCUGACUGCUGCAUCUGUUCCGCAAAGGCUGAGUUGUGUUGCACUUUGGCUGUUUGGGACACCCUCUCACCCGAAGGAGUUUCUCAUCGUAGAUGGCCAUCGCUGUACUUCGCAUGCAAGUUCCAGCAGUGGGAAAAAGCUGUGGAACGGCCAGAUCUGAAACCACCAUCUCCAGUGUCAAUAUGCAGCACAGACGAGGUUGGAGCCCCCAGACAACGCUCAGUCCCUAGACCCAACCGAAGAUUACAAGCCUCAACAGAUGGAAUCCCAAGCUCAUCUCAAUGGUCCUGCUGCUUUUGGAGACUGAAAACACAACGACCAACAACACGAGUGUCCCAGCACCUGCACGCUGAGACCCUGCAGCAGGGGGACAGACUGAAAGCAGGGACCUGUCUGUGUGCCCUGGCCACGAGCAGCAGCUGUGGACGUGGCGUGGUCUUCUCUGGAGAGCUGCACGGGCAGGUACCCGGUCGCAGCGUAUAUGCAAACACACCACCCAGCACCUCCUGAGCGCCAAGGAAUAAGAAAAACUGGAGUUGGUGCAUUUAAAUGCAGAAAUGCACUGGCAGUAGAGCAAUCUGGUUAGCUUUGCCAUGUGCCUCGAUCCGUGGUUUCACCCUUGGGUUGCUCGUCGGCUGGAGCGCUCCACGGGUAAGUCUAGCUCCGUACGUUCCUGGAUUGCUCAGGCCACGAUUACCACUUCUCCACUGCUGAAGUGAGACAGGAUUGCCAGGGGAAGGAGGAGGUCAAACCCAGUAUUUUCUGCUCAGCAGGUUCCAGAAAAUAUUAGGGCCAGACUAAACACGUAUGGAAGAGCAGCGAAGACAAAUCUAUUUGUUUAAUCUCUCCUAAGUUUCAUUCUUGUACCUAAGCUUUCUGUAUUAAGGACAAAAGCCACCAACACAGUAGCACCAGUUCCUUGGCAUCUGUGAACUCAUUAAAUCCAACAGCAGUAGACUUGCACAAUUAACUUACUGGCACAACUUAAUAACUAAUAGGGACCUCUCAUUCCCAUGCUGUGGAAUGAACGGGGGUUCCCAUCUUCCUACUGCAGAUGGCCCCUUUUGUUUUUCAUAUGCCAGAUGUCCUUAGGGGCAGAUCAGUCACAGGCAUUUAAAUAAAGCCAGCUUGUUUCAUCCCUCAAGUCAACGGGAGUUAAAGCAACUAAAGAACACGAAGAAGAAGCAGGAGGUUACAGGAUUGCUGCCAUUCUGAGCAGGAGCUCAGCGCUACAGCCGAAACUCUUCAAUUUAUUCAUGGAAUGGACAAGCCUAAUCUGCCAGUCGCUCUCAAUUCUGCGCUGGAAAAGAAGCAACUGCAUCGUUCUGCUUCUUCCUCAGAAAGGACAAGGACUGACUCCAAAUCAAUAAGCAAAGAGAAACUUCGAGACUGGUAUUUCUCUCAUCGAAAGUGGAAGCAGCAAAUAAUUCUUUAUGUGCAACAGGAAAUGUUUGCUUUAACCAGGACGUUCAAUUCUUCCACAUCCUAAGCACUUUAGAUUUAAUAAGCCAAUUGGUGUAUACUGAGAGAGCAGGGAGUUGUAAAUAUGGGCAUUUCAAUGUCAUCCUUCUCAAUUCUUUUCUCUAUAAUUCACAAGGAAAGGGUGUUUACACAAAGCAAUGCUUUGAUGUCUAUGCUUCAUCAUCUUUCCUGGUAUUGUAGAAUUCCAACUAAGUACAGCUGGCCUGUACCCCCCAGACAGACACCCUGAAGAGUGUGGGUGCGGGAAUCUCAGCACUAAAGCAGUUCCACAGCAAACAACCGAAGGGACGGACACUACAUGUGGAUCUACAAUAACCAGUG
Long non-coding RNA from Cuculus canorus (common cuckoo), 2289 nucleotides. RefSeq lists it as uncharacterized. NCBI's taxonomy places the organism in Eukaryota, Metazoa, Chordata, Aves, Cuculiformes, Cuculidae. The record is from RefSeq and is a predicted model, not a curated record. The transcript has 6 exons.